AUGAAAGAAACAGAGGGAAAAAAAAUGCUAUCAUUUCUUGCCUGUAACCUGAGGUUUGUUCUGUGCAUAUUCUUGUUAGGUAUUUGUGGAAGAAGCCUUUCACAAGUAAAGAGAAGUGCCAGGGAAAGGAGCUUUCAGACCGGCUGCUGUGGGAGAUUCUUCUUGAGCUGUGGAGUAUGGCAUCGCUUUCUGAGAAAUUUACCUUCUCUAUCUUCCAGUAUGAAACGAGCCAUUCUACUCACUGAAGACACUACACAGGAACAAAAACAAACCUUUCAGAUUCUGGAAAUCACAUUGUUACUUCAAAAUGCCUCCAAUCAGCUUCUCCCAUGUGGCUCAGCAGAGAAAGAAAACGGAACAAAUUCUGCCCUUCAGGACUGUGAAGAUGGAGUGCCAUGA
RNAcentral lists this long non-coding RNA (399 nucleotides) under Coturnix japonica (Japanese quail). RNAcentral describes it as "lncRNA (ENSCJPG00005014851.1)". Lineage: Eukaryota; Metazoa; Chordata; Aves; Galliformes; Phasianidae. The record is from RNAcentral.